RNAcentral lists this ribosomal RNA (918 nucleotides) under uncultured bacterium. RNAcentral's name for it is "bacterial SSU rRNA". It matches the Rfam family "Bacterial small subunit ribosomal RNA", at positions 35 to 942 of the family's 1533-position model. The record is from RNAcentral.
GCUGGCGGCAUGCUUUACACAUGCAAGUCGGACGGCAGCACAGAGAAGCUUGCUUCUUGGGUGGCGAGUGGCGAACGGGUGAGUAAUAUAUCGGAACGUACCGAGUAAUGGGGGAUAACUAAUCGAAAGAUUAGCUAAUACCGCAUAUUCUCUGAGGAGGAAAGCAGGGGACCUUCGGGCCUUGCGUUAUUCGAGCGGCCGAUAUCUGAUUAGCUAGUUGGUGGGGUAAAGGCCUACCAAGGCGACGAUCAGUAGCGGGUCUGAGAGGAUGAUCCGCCACACUGGGACUGAGACACGGCCCAGACUCCUACGGGAGGCAGCAGUGGGGAAUUUUGGACAAUGGGCGCAAGCCUGAUCCAGCCAUGCCGCGUGUCUGAAGAAGGCCUUCGGGUUGUAAAGGACUUUUGUCAGGGAAGAAAAGGCUGUUGCUAAUACCGACAGCUGAUGACGGUACCUGAAGAAUAAGCACCGGCUAACUACGUGCCAGCAGCCGCGGUAAUACGUAGGGUGCGAGCGUUAAUCGGAAUUACUGGGCGUAAAGCGAGCGCAGACGGUUACUUAAGCAGGAUGUGAAAUCCCCGGGCUCAACCUGGGAACUGCGUUCUGAACUGGGUGACUAGAGUGUGUCAGAGGGAGGUAGAAUUCCACGUGUAGCAGUGAAAUGCGUAGAGAUGUGGAGGAAUACCGAUGGCGAAGGCAGCCUCCUGGGAUAACACUGACGUUCAUGCUCGAAAGCGUGGGUAGCAAACAGGAUUAGAUACCCUGGUAGUCCACGCCCUAAACGAUGUCAAUUAGCUGUUGGGCAACUUGAUUGCUUAGUAGCGUAGCUAACGCGUGAAAUUGACCGCCUGGGGAGUACGGUCGCAAGAUUAAAACUCAAAGGAAUUGACGGGGACCCGCACAAGCGGUGGAUGAUGU